This 683-nucleotide long non-coding RNA is filed under the name Bemisia tabaci. RNAcentral describes it as "lncRNA ENSSSA3NGG009094". Lineage: Eukaryota; Metazoa; Arthropoda; Insecta; Hemiptera; Aleyrodidae. The record is from RNAcentral.
AUGAGGCCAGGUAAUGUCCGUAUGAGACCACCAAUGAGAAUGCCUCAUCAAAGGUUUAUGGGGCCGAAUCAAAUGGGUCCUCCUCCAUUCCGGCCUCCUGGCCCUCAAUUCCGAGGUCCAGGACCUAUGCGGCAGGGUCCUCCACCCAUGCGACAAGGUCCCCCACCUAUGCGACAAGGGCCCCUACCCCCACGCCCAGGGCCACCCCCUCAGCAAAGGACCUCUGGUUUCAUGCCUCGCAAGAUCCUCAUCAAUCCACAUUUCAAUCAGAACCAGCAGAAUAAAGGUCAAUGGGGCAAUCAAAUCCGCAUCCUCCUCCGCAACAGUUUCAGCAAAUGCCACCGCAACAAGCACCUGAGCCACAAUGGCAGCAUCAACAACCACCUCAGCCACAGUAUAGUUCCCCACCAUUUCAAACUUUGCCUUUGUCUCAGCCCCCACCCCAGCAACGAUUCCGGCCUCCUGGACCAACACCAGAAUAUAAUCAAAGGCGAGACUUUCCCCCUCCAUCGCCAGUUGUAACCCCUGAGCCACAGUCUUACUAUCCCAAUCAGCCUCAGCCAUACCGAGCAGAGUAUGCACCGUACCAAGAAGUACCAAGUCAAGCGCAGGAUUCCUCCUAUGGUCCCCCGCAGACGCCCCCUACCAACAAAACUACCAACAAUACCCACAAUAUGCUGAGC